RNAcentral lists this ribosomal RNA (1229 nucleotides) under metagenome. RNAcentral's name for it is "bacterial LSU rRNA". It matches the Rfam family "Bacterial large subunit ribosomal RNA", at positions 1659 to 2876 of the family's 2925-position model. The record is from RNAcentral.
ACUGGUGCGCGAGAUGAGUAUUCUAAGGCGCUUGAGAGAACUCAGGAGAAGGAACUCGGCAAAUUGACACCGUAACUUCGGAAGAAGGUGUGCCUUUAGUAGGUGAAGGGAUUUACUCCUGGAGCCCAAUGAGGUUGCAAAAAAUCGGUGGCUGCGACUGUUUAUUAAAAACACAGCACUCUGCAAACACGAAAGUGGACGUAUAGGGUGUGACGCCUGCCCGGUGCUGGAAGAUUAAAUGAUGGGGUGCAAGCUCUUGAUUGAAGUCCCAGUAAACGGCGGCCGUAACGAUAACGGUCCUAAGGUAGCGAAAUUCCUUGUCGGGUAAGUUCCGACCUGCACGAAUGGCGUAACGAUGGCCACACUGUCUCCUCCUGAGACUCAGCGAAGUUGAAAUGUUUGUGAUGAUGCAAUCUCCCCGCGGAAAGACGGAAAGACCCCAUGAACCUUUACUGUAGCUUUGUAUUGGACUUUGAACGGAUCUGUGUAGGAUAGGUGGGAGGCUUUGAAGCAGGGUCGCUAGAUCUUGUGGAGCCAACGUUGAAAUACCACCCUGGUGCGUUUGAGGUUCUAACCUACGUCCAUUAUCUGGAUCGGGGACAGUGCAUGGUAGGCAGUUUGACUGGGGCGGUCUCCUCCCAAAGCGUAACGGAGGAGUUCGAAGGUACGCUAGUUACGGUCGGACAUCGUGACGAUAGUGCAAUGGCAUAAGCGUGCUUAACUGCGAGACUGACAAGUCGAGCAGAUGCGAAAGCAGGACAUAGUGAUCCGGUGGUUCUGUAUGGAAGGGCCAUCGCUCAACGGAUAAAAGGUACUCUGGGGAUAACAGGCUGAUACCGCCCAAGAGUUCAUAUCGACGGCGGUGUUUGGCACCUCGAUGUCGGCUCAUCUCAUCCUGGGGCUGUAGCCGGUCCCAAGGGUAUGGCUGUUCGCCAUUUAAAGAGGUACGUGAGCUGGGUUUAAAACGUCGUGAGACAGUUUGGUCCCUAUCUUCCGUGGGCGCUGCAGAUUUGAGGAAGCCUGCUCCUAGUACGAGAGGACCGGAGUGGACACACCUCUGGUGUAUCGGUUGUCACGCCAGUGGCAUUGCCGAGUAGCUAAGUGUGGAAGAGAUAACCGCUGAAAGCAUCUAAGCGGGAAACUCGUUUCAAGAUGAGAUCUGCCGGGGCCUUGAGCCCCCUGAAGAGUCGUUCAAGACCAGGACGUUGAUAGGCAGGGUGUGGAAGCGU